Molecule: ribosomal RNA, 483 nt
Filed under: uncultured bacterium
Lineage: Bacteria
Description: partial 16S ribosomal RNA
Rfam family: Bacterial small subunit ribosomal RNA
Source: RNAcentral
AUUGAACGCUGGCGGCAGGCCUAACACAUGCAAGUCGAGCGGAUGAAGGGAGCUUGCUCCUGGAUUCAGCGGCGGACGGGUGAGUAAUGCCUAGGAAUCUGCCUGGUAGUGGGGGAUAACGUCCGGAAACGGGCGCUAAUACCGCAUACGUCCUGAGGGAGAAAGUGGGGGAUCUUCGGACCUCACGCUAUCAGAUGAGCCUAGGUCGGAUUAGCUAGUUGGUGGGGUAAAGGCCUUCCAAGGCGACGAUCCGUAACUGGUCUGAGAGGAUGAUCAGUCACACUGGAACUGAGACACGGUCCAGACUCCUACGGGAGGCAGGAGUGGGGAAUAUUGGACAAUGGGCGAAAGCCUGAUCCAGCCAUGCCGCGUGUGUGAAGAAGGGCUUCGGAUUGUAAAGCACUUUAAGUUGGGAGGAAGGGCAGUAAGUUAAUACCUUGCUGUUUUGACGUUACCAACAGAAUAAGCACCGGCUAACUUCGU